AAAGCCAUCAAGAUGGAUGCCCCGUGGGGGAAGCAUUUUUGUGGUCAUGUUUCUGGAGUCUUCUGGAGUCUUGUUCCUGUGACCUGUUGCAUGGGCAGUUGUUGGGUGAAAAUGGGGACUGGAGCCAUCUGGCAGGAGUCCCUGGACCUGGCUGUACAUGGGCUUCUAGAAGGCUGCUGCCCUUGGACUCCAGAGUGGACAAGGAUGGACCAGAGAGUGCUGUCCUGCUGUGGGGACGAGUGUCACACAGUGAGCCCGGCUAUCUGUGACUGCCUGCCUUGAUGCAGUUUGCCUGAAACCUGGAUGGCCACUUCCUUCCUGGUGCCUCUGGCUCUCAGACCCUGUGCCUGUGGGAUUAUCUCUAGGAUGGAGGCCUGGGUCCGUCUCCACAGUGCUAGGGCUUAUUAAGUGUCUCCUUAAAGUUACCAAAGCAGUGCUGGAGGCCAGGGCAGGAGUGUCCCCACCUCCUCUCUGUGGAUGGACAGAUGCUGUGCCAGGGGCUAAGGUCCUGCCCCGCCCCCUCUGCCAUCUCAACACUGUACCUGAAGUGUACCUCUGAUGCAUCCGAUGUGUAAGCCUGUCAUUUGUGUUUUUGUGAGAUGCUGAUGUGCUGCUUAGUACGUGCAAGGCCAUCUAGUGAGAUACCAUGUCCAUUAAAACUGGAGCAGAGAAACCUGGAGAUGUGGGGGGAAUCCCACAGAAAGAGGCCCGGAGUCCUGGGCCACUGCAGAGGAGUGGCACUUGUGGGAGCUGGCCUGUGGGCUUCUUUACUGCUCCCCAGGUGGAGGGUCCUGGUGGAGCCCAGCUGGCCCCUCCUGGUCUGCUGGGGAGUGCUGGCCUGGCAGGCAGGGUGGAGGUGGGGCUCUAGGCCAGGGAGGCUGUGGUCUGUGGCUGGAUUGUUCUGAGCCACCACCCUCGCCUGCAGCCUUUAUUGCGGGUCUGUCCUGAAUUCCUGGCAUUUCUCCUCCUGUCUGCACCCCCUCUAGCCUGGCCUCGGGCUGCACCUGGGUGUGAGCCCCAGAAGACAGCUUCUGCUCAGGGCCCUCUUCCAUCUUGGGAGCUAUAACCUUGAGCCAGGGCCUCCACCUGCACCUCUGCUCAGCGUAGUAAGGACACUGCCUGUCAUGUGCCUGGGACUUCCUGGGGUAGGGUGUAUGUGUGUGUGUGGGGGUGGACUUUGGCAUCUCCCACCACCUGGUGCUGUGACCUUGGGAGCAGGCCACACCAACCCCUGGUGUUUCUGGGCCUGAGGUUGCAGAGGCCAAGCAGUGGUUGGAAACAGGUCCCUGUUCUGGCCUGCAGUCCUGAGCUCCUUGCUCACAGCUUGUUCCUGCCAAGGGCUGCCAAUCUUGCAGCCUUUGCUGGGUUCCUUCUCUAGGUCUAGGUUCCCCCUUCAUCCGGGCAUCCUGGUCUGUGAGCCAGUUGGACAAGGCUGGCUCCAACCAGCCAGCCCCACUGUCCCAGCUGCCUGGGACUGUCCCAGCUGCGGCCAGGCUCCAGAGUCAGGAGCAGCUGGAUCUCUGCAGGUGACCUGUGACCCCUUUGUACUCAGCUUUGGUUUUUUCCAGAGAGUCUAGGGAUGGGAACUUGAGCCUACUAGAAGGUUGCUCCUUUUCAAGAUGGAGCUGUGCCCUUGAGAUACUGUGACUUCCUUGGAGGGACCCUGAAUGGACAGUCCCAGGGAUAUGGUUGGGGGGUGGGGGGAGUGGGCAGGCAGCGGAGGAAUUCUGUGGAGGCCAGGUAUGUCCAGGAACCUCGCUCUCUCUCUGGGCCUUGGACUCCCUGCUGCUGUGUGCUGUGUGGUGUGGGCCUUGGCAGCCUGCCCCCCCGCCCCCUAUGCUGGCUGGCUGACUGUCCUGACUGCAUCGUGGACAGCCGAUGGCAGCCGAGCCCAGAAACAAGCGCUCUUUGCUUUUCACUUACAACCACUUGCUCCAGUUUCAAAGAGUGUCUGGAUCCUCCCAUGAGAUGGAACAAGAAUUGCUACAGCAGGGACACCCCCCCCACCCCCACCCAGAGCAUACUACUAAGGUCACAAGAAGAAACUGGAUUUGAGCUCAAGCCUCAGUCACUGCUCAUCUGAUCCCCUGAUGGGGGCGUCCUGGACUGCUGCUAGCACCCUAUGUCACAGCUGAGAAACUGAGGCACACAGAGGCUUUGGGACUGUCCCAAUCUCUAACCUAGGAACCCUGAUGUCCGAUGCCUCUAGCCUGGGCUGGUGGCCCCUCCUGCACCUCCCUGACCUGCUGGAAAUUGGCUGAGGCCAGGGUGCAGCAUCCUAGGCUCAGGGGUGCAGUCCGAGAGUGGAGGGCCUUCAGCAUCCUCCCCAGUAAGGUAAGGUGAGGGGACGGAGAGGCUUGGGGCCCAGGCAGCCUCCCAAGAAUGCUCAGGGGGGACUUGAACCCGGCCCAGCGGCUGUCAUCUCAGGGCACGAUGCCUGGAUCCUAGGGCCCCAGUACAGCCACCUUAAGGCCUGUUCUGCUUCAAGCAGGGUGCAGGGGGUGUUGGGGUGUGGGGCAUGGCCUCAGUCCUGGGAAUGAUGACAACAUAAUAGGUCCCCAGUUCCCAGGCUGAGCCCCGAGAGCUGGGUGCUCCACUCUAGUCGUGCGGCCUGGCCUGUGUUCCAGACGGCUGUGACAGACGGGUCGGCGUUAAGCUGUGCUUUGGAUUAAAAGUACUUUAGUGACAAUGCUUGAUAUUUCAUUUUUGGCUCUGAUAGAAAGUUUAAAAUAGUUUGAUUUAAUUUUUUUUUUAAAGAAUGUUGGUUUAAAUUAAAAAUUCACUUGCGCAGGGUGGAGGCAGCUUGCACGUUGUGGGUUUGACAUGUGGCUUCCUGUGACUGAGGACCUGUUUUAAGGGGAGGUUGGCUGCUGGGGGGGGCGCCUCUUACCUGGGGCAGGCCCCUCCCAUGCUGUCCAGCACUGAGGGCACCACACGGCUUUCCCUGUACUGACUGCUGUGUGGGUGGUUGGUAGGCCUCUGCGUGGUGCUCAGCUGCAUAUGCAGCUGGGUGCCCAUCAGCCUGCCUUGACUGCUCGAGCCUCAGUUUCCUCAUCUGUAAACCAGAAUGAUGGUGACUGGGACGGGGUUGAUGAGCCUGUGGGAAACUCCCAAGAGGCACCCCAGGGAAAGGUAUAGAUGUACCCCAUCAGGCCUUAGUCCACCUGGCAGCUCUGACCCCUGCUGCCCCUGUGCCUGGUACCUGGCCCAACCACUCAAGGCUCGGGUCUCCAUAGGAAGGAGGCCAUGAGAAAGGCCCUGUGGGAUAUCGGGGCCUCUGUGCAGGAUUCUGUUCUGGGGUUCAGAUGGACCUUCACUGGCCCCAACCUUUGACUUUAUCCCCUCUGGUGCUCCACGGUCCUAUGAUUCUCACCGAAGAUAACCCCAGGCUGCAGUCUCCAUCCCGUGUGCUCACGGUGCUAGCCUUUGGGUCCAGCCUGAGGACAAUGAAGCUCCCUGCUGGCUGCCCCACCUCAGGGACUGGUCCAACACCUUCCAUGUGCAUAUACCUGGGGACCAGCUCACCCUACCCUGCCUGCCCCGCCUUCCUCCUCCAGUUGACAGUGGUAGUGAAUGGCAAGCUAAUCAGCUGGCAGAAACAGAAGGGAGGGUCGGGUAGGACUUCCUUAAGUCCCUGGCUUCUUGUCACCCAUCACAGGCCAGGCUUAUUGUCCUCCAUCUCCAGAGGCAGCUAGACACAUGGCCCUGGAGCCCCGGCAUAUUUACUCCACCCACGUGAGUCCCUGGUUCUCACCAUGCAGGUGGGCACUCCUGCUGGUUCAGGUGGACCCUGAGUGAGGUCCUGUGUCCAUUCUGCUGCAGGGUGGGGUUGUACUGGGAGCUAUAGACAGGAGGUGCCCUGUUCAAAGAUGGGGCUGCAAAGUGGGCAUCUGGGGUGCCUUGGCUCCCAAACACCCCAAAAUGGAGCCUGAAAGACUGGCAGAGCUCCUGGGAGAGAGGUCCCAGGAACAGGGAGAAGGAGUCAGGCUCCUGGCUCCUCCCUACGGGGUCCCUGAGGACCUUGGGAAAUACCUCAGAACUGUCAGCUCCAUGGCAGAAAGAUGCAUUUCUAUAGGGCCUGUUUACACAGGCCAGGGGCCAGCAGCCAGACCCAGCUGUGCGUGUGCACACCUAGAGACUGCCUGGGUCCUGGGGCAGCAGAGACAGACAGCCAUGGGGGACCCUGCAGGGCACCCCUGACCUCAUGGGUACUGGGAAGGUGCAGUGGAGCCCAGGGCUAUGUGGAGGGUGGCUAGUGUGCCACCUGGAUGUCUGUGCCCACUGGCUGGCCAGGCCUUCCAUGAGCUCCACGUCCCAUCCCACAGGCAGAACCCUCCUGCACUCCUGCCCUCUCAGAACCUCUUACAAUGAAGCUCAGCAUCUAGAGUGGCCCUGGCCUCCUUGCUGGCUCCUGCCUGCUUAGGCCCCAUCCAUAUGGGCCGUCCGCAGUGGGAUGGGGAUGGGUCUGAGGGAGCCCACAGCAGGCCCUGGUGGAAGGAGCAGGGCUCAGGGGCAGGCACACACCAUCCAGGCCCUUUGGACCAGUCUGUAGCCACAAAUGACAAUUCUUUGGGAGCUGUCCCCAGUCCCUGUGUACCCUGUGACAUGGCUAUGGAGUGAGCUGGACUUUCAGUGUCUCUAGUGGGCCUGGCCAGGACUGCAGACCAGCAGUGCCCUCCUCAGAGGUCUGAGUUUGGGUCAGGGAGGCAGAGUGCCUGGGGAACAUGGGUGACUUCUGAGAACACUGCUCUGUGAGCUCUGUCCACCGUGUGACCUUGGACUCCCCCACCAUGGCCUUGGGUGAACUUACUGUGGUCUUGAUUGAGCCUCUCACUGUGACCUUGGUGAGCCUUUAUGACCUUGGAUGACCUCACUAUGACCUUGUACUGGACGCUGUCCUGGUCAGCUAUCAUGAACAAAAGGGAUUUGGCCUCAUGUCUGGGGAAGGCCUGGGAUCCCUGAGCGUGAUGGAGGAGCAGGGAGGGCUGGUCCAGGUCCAGCCACAGGCCUCCCUUCUGUGCACCCUGCACUUCCUGUGAGAAGAGAGCUCAGGUCCCGUCCUGGAGCACAGAGUUGUGCACUGAGAUGCAGGCAGGGUUGGCCCAUCAGCUUCUAGAUGGGAAGUUCCGGAAGCUUUCCUGCCACUUACCCUGGACAUCAGAACCUCACCCUGGACAUCUUGAGCUUCUGUCUGUGACCUCACCAGUCUUGUGGCCUCAGACCCUCAGGCCUGGAGUCUGAGUCUUCUCUGUGUCCACCAGAGUCACAGGAAGAGAUCCUGGCCCAAGUAGGCUCUGAAGGGGCAGGUGCCGAGGGGCAGCAGGCCGAUUGCUUGGCCCGAGUCCUUUUUUCCUGGGGUUCCAGGGCCUGGCUCUCAGCAUUCACCCCUGGGUGGGAGCCAGGGCCAGCCUGGCCUUGGAGAUGACCGCAGUGUGCAGGAGGAGGCCCGCCCCCAGCAUACCCCCUCCUCUGGAGUCCACCCCCUCCCUGCGGGCACUCAGACGAAAAGCGUGUGGUUUUUGCAAAAUGAAACAGCGACUGUUUCCAACCAUGCCUUUGAGCCGCCAAAAAAUGUGGAGUAUUCAUUAUCUGGCCCCCAGCCUGCCGAUUAGUGGGCAGCGUUCCUUGGAGGGCUGACCCGAGGGCUGCCCUGCCACGCACUGGGCAUCCGUCCCCAGAGUGCCCGUAGCUCCAGGUCUGUGCCCCUGCGGGGGUAGCGGAAGCAACCCUCUUGCCCCUUUGUGGCCCUGCCCAGAAAGCCCUUUAUUAUCCAGAAAGACACACAGACCCCUCCACUGCUGCCCAAGCAGUCCUGGACAGGGCAGGGAACCCAUCCUGUGCUGCAGCUUCAAGCUGGGGAGCACAGUGGUGACCCCCCUCAUCUUGCUGGAGGGACUCUGUGUCCUAAGGACCUUCCUGGGCAUCUGGGCUUCAGACCCUGGAGACAAACGUAGAGUGCACAGCUGGUGGGGCCAGGCUUGCCUUCCGGGGAGAGGUCUGCAUGCCUGUGGAGAGAACGCUGGGAAUGCUGUUCCAGCUUUUAUGAGGACAGACCUGUUUCUUGUGACCAAUGGAUCUCAAGAAGUUUAUUCACCCACUAUCUAUCCAACCGUCCACUAUCCACCAUCCACCAUCUACCGUCCACCAUCCACCAUCUCUUCAUCCAUCCACCAUCCACUAUCCAUCCUUGGCUGAACAGAGACUGCACACCAAGAUGGUCACUGAGUCAGCCUGGUGUAGAAGAAGUACCUUGAAAGUCAGCUCUGUUCCUGAUGGGUCAGUGACCUUGCACAGGGACUUACCUCUUUUGGCCUUCAGUUGUUCAGUUAGAUCAGAUUGCCCCAAAUUUUGUACAAAUGCAUUGGUGAAGUUUUAUGACCAUGUUUUCUUCUCUCUGAUCAUGUUUUUGUCUAAAAGCUUUUAUAGUUUUAGUUCUUAUAUUUAGGUCUUUGAUCCAUUUUUAGUUAAUUUUUGUGUAUGGUGUGAGGUAGGGGUUCAAAUUCAUUUUUUUACAUGUUGAAAUCCAUUUGUCCGAGCAUCCUUUGUUGAAGAGUAUUCUCCAUAAGAAUCAACUGAUCAUAAAUGUGUGGAUUUGUU
This is a non-coding RNA of Ictidomys tridecemlineatus (thirteen-lined ground squirrel), 6597 nucleotides long. Lineage: Eukaryota; Metazoa; Chordata; Mammalia; Rodentia; Sciuridae. The record is from RefSeq and is a predicted model, not a curated record.